AUGGCCGCUUUUCGGGAUGUACUGAUGACAUGUGAGUUAGUCGAUUUGGGGUUUUCUGGCAUACCCUAUACAUACGACAAUAUGCGUUCGGGAUCGGCAAAUGUACGCGUGCGGCUGGAUCGUGCGGUGGCAACAAAUGAGUGGAGGAACAUGUUCGCAUACUCUUCUGUGCAACACCUUGCAUCCCCUUGUUCAGAUCAUAUCCCAUUGCUGCUGAAGUUUGAUGCAGAGCAGGAGAGGCCUAGAGCCAAAGCACGACGAUAUGAAAUCUUUUGGGAAUGGGACGCAGAAUUGCUAGAUCUUGUAAACAAGGCGUGGUCGGCCUUCGGUGCAAUGGAGAACCUGGGACAGGUUAUUGCUGCCUUGCAAUCAACCAUGACAUCACUCCGGUCAUGGAGUAACAGA
This 405-nucleotide ribosomal RNA is filed under the name Triticum aestivum (bread wheat). RNAcentral's name for it is "partial small subunit ribosomal RNA". Lineage: Eukaryota; Viridiplantae; Streptophyta; Magnoliopsida; Poales; Poaceae. The record is from RNAcentral.